Molecule: ribosomal RNA, 460 nt
Filed under: uncultured bacterium
Lineage: Bacteria
Description: partial 16S ribosomal RNA
Rfam family: Bacterial small subunit ribosomal RNA
Source: RNAcentral
CCUACGGGUGGCAGCAGUGAGGAAUAUUGGUCAAUGGACGCUAGCCUGAACCAGCCAAGUAGCGUGAAGGAUGACUGCCCUAUGGGUUGUAAACUUCUUUUAUAUGGGAAUAAAAUGCAGUAUGUAUACUGCUUUGCAUGUACCUUAUGAAUAAGGAUCGGCUAACUCCGUGCCAGCAGCCGCGGUAAUACGGAGGGUGCGAGCGUUACUCGGAAUCAUUGGGCGUAAAGGGUGCGUAGGCGGGGUGUUAAGUCAGUUGUGAAAUCUUGCGGCUUAACCGUAAAAUUGCAAUUGAUACGGGCAGUCUGGAGUACAGUUGAGGUAGGCGGAAUUCGUGGUGUAGCGGUGAAAUGCUUAGAGAUCACGAAGAACCCCGAUUGCGAAGGCAGCUUACUAAACUGUGACUGACAUUGAUGCUCGAAAGUGUGGGUAUCAAACAGGAUUAGAUACCCUAGUAGUC